CCCCCCACUGCAGACCCACAGCCCAGCAGGCAGAGCUACGCACAGGCUGUGAGGGGAGCAACUGGCCCAGCCCCCACCAACCAAAUGAGUGACAUUAAACAAAUGCCGAGUCUACUAUGCUCACGUGUGAUAGGCCGAGGGGCAUGGAUGCUUACGUGAUUGGCCGAGGGGCAUGGUAAGAUGAGCACAAGAACUCCACCAUCCUCACACUUCACCCACCCAAGUGACAUGACACAAAUUAUAUCUUAAAUGAUAAACAAAUCACAUUUGCAUAAUAAGAGUUUACAUUAAUUGAAAACCCCCUAUUUUAAGAGUGCUUGAUGGAUUGUGGGUGUUUGUCUCAUUUUGAAGGUAAAGAAAAAACAGUUCUGAAAUCUUUUUACGUUGGAAUUUACAAGGAUUAAAGUCCUCUGCUUUUGGGCUAAGGAGCAGAAACCCAGACUUCCUGAAAGACAUUGAUGAUGUUGAUAUUGUAGUACUACAGGAAACAUGGUGCAGAGGUGAUGUUUCCACUGGCUGUCCACUAGGUUAUAGGGAGAUAAUCAUACCAUCCACUGGCUGUCCACUAGGUUAUAGGGAGAUAAUCAUACCAUCCACUGUCUGUCCACUAGGUUAUAGGGAGAUAAUCAUACCAUCCACUGGCUGUCCACUAGGUUAUAGGGAGAUAAUCAUACCAUCCACUGGCUGUCCACUAGGUUAUAGGGAGAUAAUCAUACCAUCCACUGUCUGUCCACUAGGUUAUAGGGAGAGAAUCAUACCAUCCACUGUCUGUCCACUAGGUUAUAGGGAGAUAAUCAUACCAUCCACUGUCUGUCCACUAGGUUAUAGGGAGGUAAUCAUACCAUCCACUGGCUGUCCACUAGGUUAUAGGGAGAUAAUCAUACCAUCCACUGGCUGUCCACUAGGUUAUAGGGAGAUAAUCAUACCGUCCACUAGGUUACAGGGAGAUAAUCAUACCAUCCACUGGCUGUCCUCUAGGUUAUAGGGAGAUAAUCAUACCAUCCACUGGCUGUCCACUAGGUUACAGGGAGAUAAUCAUACCAUCCACUGGCUGUCCACUAGGUUAUAGGGAGAUAAUCAUACCAUCCACUGGCUGUCCACUAGGUUAUAGGGAGAUAAUCCUACCAUCCACUGACUGUCCACUAGGUUAUAGGGAGAUAAUCAUACCAUCCACUGGCUGUCCUCUAGGUUAUAGGGAGAUAAUCAUACCAUCCCCUGGCUGUCCACUAGGUUAUAGGGAGAUAAUCAUACCGUCCACUAGGUUACAGGGAGAUAAUCCUACCAUCCACUGGCUGUCCUCUAGGUUAUAGGGAGAUAAUCAUACCAUCCACUGGCUGUCCACUAGGUUAUAGGGAGAUAAUCAUACCAUCCACUGGCUGUCCUCUAGGUUAUAGGGAGAUAAUCAUACCAUCCCCUGGCUGUCCACUAGGUUAUAGGGAGAUAAUCAUACCGUCCACUAGGUUACAGGGAGAUAAUCAUACCAUCCACUGGCUGUCCACUAGGUUAUAGGGAGAUAAUCAUACCAUCCACUGGCUGUCCACUAGGUUAUAGGGAGAUAAUCAUACCAUCCACUGGCUGUCCACUAGGUUAUAGGGAGAUAAUCAUACCGUCCACUAGGUUACAGGGAGAUAAUCAUACCGUCCACUGACCGUCCACUGGGUUAUAGGGAGAUAAUCAUACCAUCCACUGGCUGUCCACUAGGUUAUAGGGAGAUAAUCAUACCAUCCACUGGCUGUCCACUAGGUUAUAGGGAGAUAAUCAUACCGUCCACUAUGUUAUAGGGAGAUAAUCAUACCAUCCACUGGCUGUCCACUAGGUUAUAGGGAGAUAAUCAUACCAUCCACUGGCUGUCCACUAGGUUAUAGGGAGAUAAUCAUACCAUCCACUGGCUGUCCACUAGGUUAUAGGGAGAUAAUCAUACCAUCCACUGGCUGUCCACUAGGUUAUAGGGAGAUAAUCAUACCAUCCACUGGCUGUCCACUAGGUUAUAGGGAGAUAAUCAUACCAUCCACUGGCUGUCCACUAGGUUAUAGGGAGAUAAUCAUACCAUCCACUGGCUGUCCACUAGGUUAUAGGGAGGUAAUCAUACCAUCCACUAGGUUAUAGGGAGAUAAUCAUACCAUCCACUAGGUUAUAGGGAGAUAAUCAUACCAUCCACUAGGUUAUAGGGAGAUAAUCAUACCAUCCACUGGCUGUCCACUAGGUUAUAGGGAGAUAAUCAUACCAUCCACUGGCUGUCCACUAGGUUAUAGGGAGGUAAUCAUACCAUCCACUGGCUGUCCAAUAGGUUAUAGGGAGAUAAUCAUACCAUCCACUGGCUGUCCACUAGGUUAUAGGGAGAUAAUCCUACCACCCACUGGCUGUCCACUAGGUUAUAGGGAGAUAAUCAUACCAUCCACUGGCUGUCCACUAGGUUAUAGGGGGAUAAUCAUACCAUCCACUGGCUGUCCACUAGGUUAUAGGGAGAUAAUCAUACCAUCCACUGGCUGUCCACUAGGUUAUAGGGAGAUAAUCAUACCGUCCACUGACCGUCCACUGGGUUAUAGGGAGAUAAUCAUACCAUCCACUGGCUGUCCACUAGGUUAUAGGGAGAUAAUCAUACCAUCCACUGGCUGUCCACUGGGUUAUAGGGAGAUAAUCAUACCAUCCACUAGGUUACAGGGAGAUAAUCAUCCCAUCCACUGGCUGUCCACUAGGUUACAGGGAGAUAAUCAUACCAUCCACUGGCUGUCCACUGGGUUAUAGGGAGAUAAUCAUACCAUCCACUGGCUGUCCACUAGGUUAUAGGGAGAUAAUCAUACCAUCCACUGGCUGUCCACUGGGUUAUAGGGAGAUAAUCAUACCGUCCACUAGGUUAUAGGGAGAUAAUCAUACCGUCCACUAUGUUAUAGGGAGGUAAUCAUACCAUCCACUAUGUUAUAGGGAGGUAAUCAUACCAUCCACUAUGUUAUAGGGAGGUAAUCAUACCAUCCACUAUGUUAUAGGGAGAUAAUCAUACCAUCCACCUAAUUAAAAGGACUCGGGACAGGGCAGAGACUCCAGGGGAAGGCUAAUAUGGUAUAAAUCUGAACUAAUUAAAUCAAAUUGAUCAAAACAGGAUAAUUAUUUCUGGUUAAAAAUCAACAAGGAGGCUGUCUUUACAGAUAAAAACAUUCCUCAGUCCCCCUACUUCAAUGAAGAGAGUUCCUCCAUUUCCUCAUACAUUCCCUCCUCAGUCACCCUACUUCAAUGAAGAGAGUUCCUCCAUUUCCUCAUACAUUCCCCCCUCAGUCACCCUACUUCAAUGAAGAGAGUUCCUCCAUUCCCCCCUCAGUCACCCUGCUUCAAUGAAGAGAGUUCCUCCAUUUCCUCCUCAUACAUUCCCCCCUCAGUCACCCUACUUCAAUGAAGAGAGUUCCUCCAUUUCCUCAUACAUUCCCUCCUCAGUCACCCUACUUCAAUGAAGAGAGUUCCUCCAUUUCCUCCACAUACAU
This is a long non-coding RNA of Oncorhynchus keta (chum salmon), 3473 nucleotides long. RefSeq lists it as uncharacterized. NCBI's taxonomy places the organism in Eukaryota, Metazoa, Chordata, Actinopteri, Salmoniformes, Salmonidae. The transcript has 3 exons. The record is from RefSeq and is a predicted model, not a curated record.